GGGAAGGGCGGCCGCGGGCCGCGCCGUCGGGAGGCGCAGAAGCGACUCCGCUCCGCGCUCCGGGCCGGGUCUUGCAGGCCGCGCCGUCCGGAGGAGCAGAGGCGGAUCCGCUCUGACUCUGCCUUCGCUCUCCGGGUUUUGCGGCCGCGCCCAGCCCCCCGCGGUGACUCCCGCGGUCGCCGGCGUCAGGGCGAGGCUGCCGCCCGCCUCCCCACUGGGCAUGCGCGGCCGGACCACCCGGAGCCGGGAGGAGGGGGCGUGCGCGGGACUUGGGGCUGGAGUUCGAUGUCCGGGGUGCAGCCUGGUGUCUGUGUUGUCCGAAGCCGGUGGGAGGACCCGCGCAUCACAGGGUGGAGAUACUCGUGGAGAAAAUGCGGAGCGCCACCAAAGCGCGGAAGUCCUUGGCACACACUCUCACCACUCCCACCGAGAAGUCUGGCCUUGACCCCUGGGCGCAGACCUUGUGGCUCCGCAGCCUCGCGGCUCCAAACCUCUCAACCCUUGCCUUGCAGGCCUCCAGCUCCCUGCGGACCUUCAGCCGGGCCCUUCCAGCUGCACCUGAGGACAGGAAGUGAGGUUCCUCACAUUAUCCUGCACUGGUGGCUGUCAGGUCAGUCCCCAGACCCUGACCCUGUGAUAGGAAAGGUCCUGAAGCUGCUCUGGUUCAGGGCACAAGUGGGGGAAGUGCACUUCCAGUGCCCAGGUGUGACUCAGUUUACCCAGACUCUGGAAGUCCUAGUCAAGGCAGGAUGGGUGGUGCCCUGUGGCUUUCGGAGUUUAGGACUGAGCAAGGGCCCUUCCAGCUCUGCUCGCAGACUUCCUCUUGGGAACUCACACCCACACCAUGGCAGGACAGAGAGAGCCAGAGCCAUGCUGACUUCUCUGUCCUCCUCACCACCCCCUUCCACCUCAGACCCACCGGCAGCUCACGCUACCCAGGAGCAUCUGCGCCUGAAUCUCCCUGCAGCCCUGAGGGGUUGGCCUUACCACCCUUGCUCCAUCGGAGAGGGAAUGGAGACUCAGAGAGGCUAAGGAACUUGUCUUCAGUCACACAGCCCGUGGCAGAAGCAAGUUGCCACCAGUGGCCUACCUGACCCCAAAGCCCAACGUGUCUACACUGUGUAAGAGCUUCCAUGAAAAUAAACUGUGGUGGUGAUAAGUUAAACACGGGAAACAGGAGCCCGACAUCACAGGAAGUGAAACACGAUAUAGCCCAGAGCAACUGUGGGCUGUUUCGUUCCCAGCAUAGAUGGGAGGCAAAAUGCAAAGCAGCACACCUGUUCCCAGAAGUAUUUGGGGGUUUUUAAAUGUCAGCCACAAUGCUCAUGAAUCACUCUCUUUAAAGCUGUUAAUCCAAAUAGCCCCCUCUUUCCCCUGUGCCGCUCAGGAUUCAUUGAGAGUCCUCUGCUGGCCUGAAUCCCAAGUCAGACUCAGGCCUGCCAGGCCCUGUGGGAAAACUCACUCUCUUCUCAGGGAAGGUCUGUCCCCAGGUCCCCAGGUUUGCUGUAGGAGGGAGAGAACUUGUCCCUCUGGUGACAGCACAACCGGAACAUCGAGGAACAGGCAGAGCAGAGUCAUAGCCAAGGUCCCAGAGUCAUCCGCUCACGUGCGGGCUCUUCACUGAGGGCCUGUGACGUGGGACCCCAAUGACCACAGAACAGGCCCUGCCGUCUGUGGCAGGCAGGCGUUGUCCAACCUCGCAGGCGGUACCCAGCUGUGACAGGAGUGUCCCUAUGAGCUGGUGAGGACAGUGACGUAGGAAAAGUUCUGUGUGUACAGGGGUAAUCAAAAUACACAGUGAAUGGGCUGGGGAUUUAGCUC
Long non-coding RNA from Chinchilla lanigera (long-tailed chinchilla), 1821 nucleotides. NCBI's taxonomy places the organism in Eukaryota, Metazoa, Chordata, Mammalia, Rodentia, Chinchillidae. The record is from Ensembl.